RNAcentral lists this transfer RNA (73 nucleotides) under Methanobacteriota archaeon. RNAcentral describes it as "Euryarchaeota archaeon (soil metagenome) tRNA-Pro". It matches the Rfam family "tRNA". From Rfam's summary of the family: Transfer RNA (tRNA) molecules are approximately 80 nucleotides in length. Their secondary structure includes four short double-helical elements and three loops (D, anti-codon, and T loops). The record is from RNAcentral. Lineage: Archaea; Methanobacteriati; Methanobacteriota.
GGGUCCGUGGGUUAGUUUGGUAUACUUGGGGCUUUGGGAGCCUUAGACUCCGGUUCAAAUCCGGGCGGACCCA